Oncorhynchus nerka (sockeye salmon) is the source of this 1127-nucleotide long non-coding RNA. RefSeq lists it as uncharacterized. The transcript has 6 exons. NCBI's taxonomy places the organism in Eukaryota, Metazoa, Chordata, Actinopteri, Salmoniformes, Salmonidae. The record is from RefSeq and is a predicted model, not a curated record.
UCCUUCCCCCCUCUCUCCUCCUCCCUCUGUCUGUCUCUGGGUUGGUGGCUGCUCUCUCCAUCUCUCUGAUCAUUCUACUGGUCCUGUUCUGCAAGAGGAACAAAGAUGUAGCAGCUGAACCCAGAGAUGUUACGUAUGCUGACGUUAGAAUCAUACAGGACCCAGAACCCAGGAGAAGGAGAGAGAAGUCUCCAGGAGCUGAUCCAGUCUCUGCAGUGAAGACCUCCAACACCACAGUUCCAGGUGGAUCCGGUCCAGGUGAUGUGACCUAUGCUGACAUCAACCACACAGAGAAGAGACAACACAACAGGAGGAGAGAGAAGGUCGUUCCAGACCCUGUCUACUCAGCAGUGAAGACAGACAGAGACACAGGUCAAAAGGUCGUUCCAGACCCUGUCUACUCAGCGGUGAAGACAGAUAGACAGAGAUACAGGUAGAGCUGUAUCUGGAUCCUGGGACGUAACGUACAGACUGAGUGACCCUGUUCAUCAGAACGUCAUGGUGGAUGGAAAAAUAUGCUCUCUUCAUCUGCGGUGAAUAACCACAACCCUGUCAGUCCAUCUCUUUACUUCUCCUUUCUCUUCUCUUCUCUCUCCCUCCUCCCCUUUUCACACCAACGGACUUAUCUUUAGACGCUGCGGCCGCCAUCAACAGCAUCAGCAACAGAGAGGUGUGAAGUUUCCACAACAGAGCUCAUUUUUCAUGCACUUCUCUUUAGACGCUGCAGCCUUGUUCUCAAGUUAGUUUAUCAUGAGAACAUACAGACACCACGGACUGGAACCAUCAACAAGAGUUAGUUUAUCAUGAGAACAUACAGACACCACUGACUGGAACUAUCAACAACAAGAGUUAGUUUAUCAUGAGAACAUACAGACACCACUGACUGGAACCAGCUGACAAUAUCAGUUGUAAAGGUUCAUUACUACUAACAGAAGGAAAGUUGUAGUGUUUUGUCCAUGAUGAUUGUUGGAAAGGCUUCAAUGUGUUAUAUUAUUAUAUUAUAUUCUAAUUGUUAAUGUAAAAUUCUAAAUUGCAUUUUACUAUAAUGUCAUUGUGUGUGUUUAUCUUGAGCAUCACCAGUUUAUGGUGCCAACUUGCCAAAUAAAACUUCCAUGAUCUGUCCACUA